CUCACAUAUAACAGAGCUAGAAACAGAGCUCUGCUGUUCAUGCGCAUGGACGGAACAAUCCCCGUCUUAGGAUAAAUGUAAAGUGGUCCACGUCUUGAAGGUCUCAAAUAAAGAACAUACAGAUAGACAAGGGAAUCCACAUAGUGUAGUAUGUAUUAAAAUCACUUAAAAUAAGGAAUAAAAUGUAAAGUAUCGUACUCACAUUUACUAGAGCGUGCCUCGCUCUAGUUUACAGCGUAUAGGUGGUAUAAUCCCCACCAAGGAAUAAAAUGGUAACCAGGAAAAAAAAGGUAUAUAAUAAUGGAUGUCUCAGAGUGAUAAAAAUAUAUAAAAUAGUAACUGUUUAUUGUACAUAGAAAGUAAUAAAAACAAAUGAGAUACACUCAAUGAGAAAGUCCAUAAAAAAUCCACUUUACGCGUUUCACCUGUAGAGGCUUCUUCAGAAGUGUAGAUAAAGUCCUUUUAAUGUCCAAAUAUAUAAGAAAUAAAAUUUAAAACAAUUGUCUUCAUGUGUUGAAAAUUACUUACUGUUUCCUGGUUUUCGCGCGCGCGUCAUACCGGAAGUGACGCGGCGCCAUUUUAGCCAAUAGAAAAUAGAAGGAUAUGGAUGAUGUUAGCCACCGGUGGAACGCACGCGUCAUACCGGAAAUGACGCGGCGUGACCGGGCGGUGGAGUUCUAUGCGUUCCACAUGUGGAACGCAAGCGAGGAGAGGCAGAAACAUAGUGAUGAUAUAAGCAUGUACCAUGCGUUCCACAGAAGGAACGCAGAAAAAAACGGCAGUGGCUUCAUCACUAUGUAGCUCUCAAAGCACAAUGGUAGCACUGUCAAAUUGAUACAUUUCAAUGAAUCAGCAACAACAAACACAUACCAAUAAUAUAACCUUAUAUUGAUAUGUGUCAUAAUAAAAAUCAUGCAAAUAAAACUUAGCAUGCAAAUAAAAAAGCUGAUGUUUGACAUAUUGUGAUAUAUUAACCAUUAUUGAAGGGAAGCAAAUAAUACACAACUAGAACAUUGGAAUAGGAAAUAUCCUAAAAGGUGUUAUAGAUAAAUAAAAGGGUGAGAACAUAAAAAUA
Molecule: non-coding RNA, 1075 nt
Organism: Pelobates cultripes (western spadefoot toad)
Lineage: Eukaryota; Metazoa; Chordata; Amphibia; Anura; Pelobatidae
Source: the annotation of a GenBank genome assembly